CGAUGCAUGAGAUGAACAGGGGUCUAAGCGGUUGAUGGCGAUGGGAUCAAGAGUUGAUCAAGGAUCGAGUCAAGGAGGCUUGGAACCAAUUCAAGAGUUGAAGAUCAGUUGAUCGAUUGACGUGCAUGUGCUUGAUCGAUUGAUCGAUUGACGUGCAUGGGUUGGGCACCAAUAACUGUUAGGUGAGGACCCAAUGACGACUUUAUUCCUACGGUUAUACAGUGGGUCUGACUUAACUAAGAAAUGGAACCAAUAACUGUUAGGUGAGGUUUUCAUGGCUUAGAGACCAAGUUACACUGCAACAUGCUUAAGAAGCAUUGUACAAGAGUUGUACAUUCAUCAAUCUAUGUGUCACCAAUAACUGUUAGGUGAGGUGGCAUGUAAAUUGGUGGGACCGCAGUACCCACUAGAAACCCUAGUCGUGUGGGAUUUCCGUUUUCCUACCAGGGGAGUGUGAGGGAUUCGAGAAAAUAGUGGGAGUUACAUUUAUUCUAAAAGACCUUAGAACAGAUUAGGAUCAAGUACAAAAGUCUAACUAGAAUCUUUACUCUCUGCAGAUACAAUGUCAGCCUCAAACCCUUUGACCCGUAUUCUUGAGACCAACCGAUUGACCGGAACCAAUUACAAGGACUGGCUUAGGAAUCUCAAAAUUGUUUUGAGCUGUGAGAAAAUAGGCUACAUACUCGAUUCAGAUAUCCCCACAAUACCAGCACGUCCUACU
This 721-nucleotide long non-coding RNA is filed under the name Phoenix dactylifera (date palm). Its description in RNAcentral is "long non-coding RNA (PDAC_LNC014186)". The record is from RNAcentral. Lineage: Eukaryota; Viridiplantae; Streptophyta; Magnoliopsida; Arecales; Arecaceae.